Molecule: unclassified non-coding RNA, 981 nt
Filed under: Hevea brasiliensis (rubber tree)
Lineage: Eukaryota; Viridiplantae; Streptophyta; Magnoliopsida; Malpighiales; Euphorbiaceae
Source: RNAcentral
AAAAAAAAAAAAAAAUGCACAAGUAGAUGCACCUUGUAGCAAUGUGGCAUUUCAAUUACAAACUAGCUUCUAAAACGAAAAGGGAAUGCAAAGGGAUGUUUAGAACACGCUCAGAAUGGAUUAAGUCACAAGAAGGGGGCAAAAAGCAUGAUGUAUUCAUCACCAAAAAAGAUUAGCAGAAUAAAAUUAACUCAAUUCCCAAUUACUAUGAACAGAAUAGAUAUUGAAACAACAGUCAUAAUUAAGUUGUCUGAUCCAUCAUACUUCUCACUGCACACUGUCAGUACAGAGAAACCUGGCAGGAUCAUAAGAUAUUAAUAUAGGAAGCUGUUCUAACCACCAGUGGCUUUAAAUGCCACGAUCAAAAUGAAACACUUGUUCACUGUACAUAUAAAUUUAUAGGUUUAAUACUUAAAUAACAGCUUCCAUCUUAUUUUCGUCCACUUUGAUAUAGCUCUAUACUAUUGACUAGAUUCAUGAGGAUGAAAAAUUCACUAGUUUUGCCUCAGAUCUUUUCACAUGUUAAAAAACCAAUACAGAAAACUCAAAAUCCUGUUCACAGUGAUAUACUCUGAUGCAAAACUAAGGUCUAAGGGCUAAGGAGAAAACACAAAUAUAAAAGAUUAAACUCAAUGUUCAGACUGAAACCUGAAUGAACAGAAUAUCUAACCUAGAAAGAAAUUAACACAUGCUAUAGUUAUCUACACAAUCAGGUCUUUAUUAUCUAUUUCUCCCCCAAUAACAAUAGUUACUAACACAAACUCUUAUUCUACUCUUCUCACAUACAACUAUCAUAAAUCGUCUCAUAAACUUCAAUCAUGUUUUGUUAGGAGAGUUAAGAAUCUAGACACAGAUAAUUACAGAAAAUUCACCAAGUUACUUAACAGUUAAUACAAUAUGCUGCCAAUACACACUAAUCAUGAGACAAUUUGAACAAAUUUAGAAACCAAUAUUAGACAAUUAGUUUACCUGUAUCUGUGA